AUCCUACGGGAGGCAGCAGUGAGGAAUAUUGGUCAAUGGCCGAGAGGCUGAACCAGCCAAGUCGCGUGAGGGAUGACGGCCCUACGGGUUGUAAGCCUCUUUUGCCGGGGAGCAAAGAGCGGGACGCGUCCCGCCUCGAGAGUACCCGGAGAAAAAGCAUCGGCUAACUCCGUGCCAGCAGCCGCGGUAAUACGGAGGAUGCGAGCGUUAUCCGGAUUCAUUGGGCGUAAAGCGCGCGUAGGCGGCCUGUUAGGUCGGGGGUCAAAUACCGGGGCUCAACCCCGGUCCGCCCCCGAUACCGGCAG
This 305-nucleotide ribosomal RNA is filed under the name uncultured bacterium. Its description in RNAcentral is "bacterial SSU rRNA". It matches the Rfam family "Bacterial small subunit ribosomal RNA", at positions 335 to 639 of the family's 1533-position model. The record is from RNAcentral.